Molecule: long non-coding RNA, 990 nt
Organism: Rosa chinensis
Lineage: Eukaryota; Viridiplantae; Streptophyta; Magnoliopsida; Rosales; Rosaceae
Exons: 3
Source: RefSeq, a predicted model, not a curated record
AGAUGAAUGCCUCCAAUAAUAAUCGCGGGUCAAAUAACUUUGUGCUUCAACCCGACUCCUCAGUCUCACUCUCUCAACGACAAAACCAGAGUUCUUGUCUUGACUUCUCCGACCAAAAUCCAGUUCUCCAACCCGACUCCUAGUCUCCACCAUUGACGCUUGAAACUGACCUCAGAUUGCACGAUUGUCGCAACACAAACUCUAGCUCUUCUUUUCCUUUAUCUCACAAAAAUUGUAGUGCUCUAUGGUACCGGCCUCCCUUGGAGUUUUCGCGGCAAAAGUUGGAGACAUGGAAGCACAGAAACACAUCUAGACUAGAAUUGACGGAAAUAUGAGAUGGAGGACCUCACCACUGAAGACCAGUCUCAGAAAUUGGGAUGUUCCCUGUUGGAAUUCUGAUCCUAUUUUCCACCACUCAUCGAAUUCUAAUCCUAUUAUCCACCUAUGAAUAAUGUGGUAGUUUUACAGUGAGGUAUCAUAAAGUUCAUGAAGCAAGAUUAAAUCCUUCACUUCAGCACUCUAAAUGAUUACAUGUCUGAAAGGUGAUCCGGAAGAUCAAGGCUUGCCAAAAUACACUUCUUUGUUUAAUUGCAUUGCUGGCAUAUGCCUCAUGUUUACUGGGAGCUCAUUUUUUCUGUGGGCUAAAAGGAAAGGAAGGUUCCCUCGACUGUUUAUGACUUUGCAAAGGAAUUUGAUUGAGAGAGGCAUAUUCAUAGUUAGACGAAUGUUGGAAGGAAUGAAAUCAUUACACGAAUGUUGUAUUAUAUAUCCAGCAGGGAUUCCAUUAUAAAAGGCUUUAGUUAAUGUUAAUUUUGAAUACUGGUCUUGUUCCGGUGGUUUGAUGAAAUGAAACUAUGUUUAUCUUAUUGGUCCCUAUCUUUUUAAUUCAAUCCCGUUCCCUUGUUGGUGUUUCUGGUUAAAUUUCCUAAAGUUCAUCUUGAGUUGGAACUAAUUGAAUCUUUGUAGCUUCAACUAUGUAUGUAACAAUGA